CUGACUUAGCUACAAAAAAAGCU
This 23-nucleotide small nuclear RNA is filed under the name Arabidopsis thaliana (thale cress). RNAcentral's name for it is "snRNA_13414". The record is from RNAcentral. Lineage: Eukaryota; Viridiplantae; Streptophyta; Magnoliopsida; Brassicales; Brassicaceae.